CCUACGGGUGGCAGCAGUGAGGAAUAUUGGACAAUGGGCGGAAGCCUGAACCAGCCAAGUAGCGUGCAGGAUGACGGCCCUACGGGUUGUAAACUGCUUUUAUACGGGAAUAAAGCGCCGUACGUGGAGGGCUUUGCAUGUACCGUAUGAAUAAGGACCGGCUAAUUCCGUGCCAGCAGCCGCGGUAAGACGGAAGGUCCGGGCGUUAUCCGGAUUUAUUGGGGUGAAAGGGAGCGUAGGCCGCAUGUCAAGCGUGCUGUGAAAGGUCCGGGCUCAACCCGGGCCUUGCAGCGCUAACUGGCGUGCUUGAGUCCGCGUCAGGCAUGCGUACUUCGUCGUGUAGCGGU
This 347-nucleotide ribosomal RNA is filed under the name uncultured bacterium. RNAcentral describes it as "partial 16S ribosomal RNA". It matches the Rfam family "Bacterial small subunit ribosomal RNA", at positions 338 to 682 of the family's 1533-position model. The record is from RNAcentral.